This is a non-coding RNA of Comamonadaceae bacterium CG1_02_60_18, 90 nucleotides long. Lineage: Bacteria; Pseudomonadati; Pseudomonadota; Betaproteobacteria; Burkholderiales; Comamonadaceae. The record is from Rfam.
GGAAACGUGACCGAGUGGCCGAAGGUGCUCCCCUGCUAAGGGAGUAUGGGGUGUAGAGCCUCAUCGAGGGUUCGAAUCCCUCCGUUUCCG